GAUAGAGUAGACUAGAGUUCUU
RNAcentral lists this unclassified non-coding RNA (22 nucleotides) under Mus musculus (house mouse). RNAcentral describes it as "oocyte_clustered_small_RNA13214". Lineage: Eukaryota; Metazoa; Chordata; Mammalia; Rodentia; Muridae. The record is from RNAcentral.